Melanotaenia boesemani (Boeseman's rainbowfish) is the source of this 919-nucleotide non-coding RNA. The record is from the annotation of a RefSeq genome assembly. NCBI's taxonomy places the organism in Eukaryota, Metazoa, Chordata, Actinopteri, Atheriniformes, Melanotaeniidae.
GUUGAUCAGUGGCUGUUCAGACCUUUCAGAGACACUGAACACACCAGCAGCACAAUGAUGAUGUCACUGACUCUACUGCUGACCACCCUGGGGCUCCUUGUUCACGGUUCAUCAGGAGAAAUCAUCCUGACUCAGACUCCUGGAUCUCAGUCUGUUGUUCCAGGACAGACUGUCUCCAUCAAAUGUAAAACCAGUACAAGUGUUAGCACCAGCUGGCUUCACUGGUACCUUCAGAAACCAGGAGAAGCUCCUAAACUCCUGAUAUAUUCAACUUCAAAUCGUCACUCUGGAAUUCCGAGUCGUUUUAGUGGAAGUGGAUCUGGUUCUGACUUCACUCUGACCAUCAGUGGAGUUCAGGCUGAAGAUUCAGGAGUUUAUUACUGUCAGCAGUGUAGCAGCUACCCGUACACGUUCGGUGGAGGAACCAGACUGGAUGUUGGAAGUGAUACUCGUCCCACCCUGACGGUGCUGCCCCCCUCCACAGAGGAGCUGCAGCAGGGGAAGGCCACACUCAUGUGUCUGGCCAACAAGGGCUUCCCCUCAGACUGGAGUCUGUCCUGGAAGGUGGACGGCAGCAGCAGCAGCAGCUAUGAGGACAGCAGGAGCCCCGGGGUGCUGCAGAAGGACGGCCACUACAGCUGGAGCAGCACCCUGAGGCUCUCUGCAGACCAGUGGAGGAAGGUGGGCUCUGUGUCCUGUGAGGCCACCCAGGGCUCCCAGUCUCCACUCUCAGAGAUACUGAGGAGAGACCAGUGUUCCCAGUACUGACCUGAUUUACUGGGACUCUCACGUGAUUUCUCUCUGUCACUGAUCUCUGACUCUUUAUUUCAUUUCUUCCAUUUUCUCUAAGCUUUUUUUGUAGUUAGUUUCUCUGUUCAUCUGUGUUUCUUCACAAUAAAGAAUUUUUUUGUCAAACAGA